Molecule: non-coding RNA, 45 nt
Filed under: Schistosoma mattheei
Lineage: Eukaryota; Metazoa; Platyhelminthes; Trematoda; Strigeidida; Schistosomatidae
Source: RNAcentral
AUCCAGUUGACGAGUCCCAAAUAGGAUGAAGCGUGCAUCGUGGAU